CACUGGAUUAGCAGGGAAGGGCAUAGUGGUAGUUGAGGUCAGGGGCACUGGAGCCAGGUGGACAGGAUGGAGUUCAGGUUUAGCCAUUACCAGCCUGUCACCUCUGACAGGUUCCUUAGUCUCUUUGAUCCUUGUUUUUUUUUUUUGUUUAUUUGUUUUUUUCAUCUUUAAAAGAGGGACAAUGAGAUAUUCUCUAUGGGGCUGUUGGGGAGAUCAAAUGAGAUAACUCACAGGAGUGGCAGAAUGUCAUGCUGGCACCUCAUGGGCACAUCCUGCUGGUGGUCUUGUUCACAGCACUACUGGAGGACAAUCACAGAGGAACUCUUGUGAGGUAAAAUAGGAAUCCAAAGACCUGCAGGAUGAGGGGCUGUAUCUUCAUCAGGAUGAUUCGGGAGAGACCUCUUGGAAGCACCUGCCCUUGAAUGGUCUCCUCUGGGCCAGUGGGAGGAGGGGCAGAUGCUUUGUACCCUGGGCAGAGUCAUGUGAUGAGAAAAGCCAGGCAUGGGAAGUGUGGUGCCCCAGCAUUGCUGGCCUGGGAGGGUGUUGGAGCCCCCAGUGGGAGGAGAUCUGCCCCUGCUUUGCCCGCUGAUGCACACAGGGACUGGCCCUCUGGAGCCCUGGUAGGUGUGGAUGCUGCUGGGGAUCGGGUACCUGGUCAGAGCUGUGUGGGGAC
RNAcentral lists this long non-coding RNA (673 nucleotides) under Marmota monax (woodchuck). Lineage: Eukaryota; Metazoa; Chordata; Mammalia; Rodentia; Sciuridae. The record is from RNAcentral.